AUGUGAGCUGUCUGUCUGCCUGUGACUUCUGCCAUCCUAUUGGUUGCCAGGGUUCAUUCACCGAUCUGGCUGGGUGGGUGGGGGUCUCCUUCCUUCCCAGCUCCAUAUGUGUGUGUCAUUCCCUAAGCUGCACACUCUUGCCACAGAGGAGCAUCCCUCCUCAGACAAGGGUAUACAGCAGCUGUGCUCCCCCACAGGAUUCCAAAUGAGCUCUCAAAUAGAUGUACUAGCUCAGGAUCUGUCAUCUGUAUCUCCAGCCUUUGGGAUCACACUUGUGCUGUCCUCAGAG
Molecule: small nuclear RNA, 289 nt
Filed under: Neotoma lepida (desert woodrat)
Lineage: Eukaryota; Metazoa; Chordata; Mammalia; Rodentia; Cricetidae
Description: 7SK RNA
Rfam family: 7SK RNA
About the family: 7SK was discovered as an abundant small nuclear RNA in the mid-70s but a possible function has only recently been suggested. Two independent studies have found that 7SK RNA binds the CDK9/cyclin T complex (known as elongation factor P-TEFb).
Source: Rfam by way of RNAcentral